RNAcentral lists this ribosomal RNA (429 nucleotides) under Actinomycetes bacterium. RNAcentral describes it as "Actinobacteria bacterium partial 16S ribosomal RNA". It matches the Rfam family "Bacterial small subunit ribosomal RNA", at positions 355 to 776 of the family's 1533-position model. The record is from RNAcentral. Lineage: Bacteria; Bacillati; Actinomycetota; Actinomycetes.
UAGGGAAUCUUCCGCAAUGGGCGAAAGCCUGACGGAGCAACGCCGCGUGAGUGAUGAAGGUCUUCGGAUCGUAAAACUCUGUUAUUAGGGAAGAACAAAUGUGUAAGUAACUAUGCACGUCUUGACGGUACCUAAUCAGAAAGCCACGGCUAACUACGUGCCAGCAGCCGCGGUAAUACGUAGGUGGCAAGCGUUAUCCGGAAUUAUUGGGCGUAAAGCGCGCGUAGGCGGUUUUUUAAGUCUGAUGUGAAAGCCCACGGCUCAACCGUGGAGGGUCAUUGGAAACUGGAAAACUUGAGUGCAGAAGAGGAAAGUGGAAUUCCAUGUGUAGCGGUGAAAUGCGUAGAGAUAUGGAGGAACACCAGUGGCGAAGGCGACUUUCUGGUCUGUAUCUGACGCUGAUGUGCGAAAGCGGGGGGAUCAAACAGG